GGGCGAAUAUGAGCCACAGCUUGUGAGCUAUAUAAUCUGGAAGCUAACGUCGUCUCGGUCUUUUCUCUGAUUGUGCUCAGGAGAAGUUCAAGACACAAAAGAUAGUCUUCAGUUUAUAAUGCAGCACCAUCUCAGAGGUUCAAACAUAUCUAUGGACGUGAUCUAUCAUCAUGGAAGAUUUGGUGGACAUCCAUAUGAGCCAGACGGAGGAUGAUGUCUGUGUUUGAGCUUCAGCAUAAUGUCUUAAAGAUGUUUAUCAUGGCAGCAUCACUUACUGGAGGAGAUGGGUCUGAGAUGGAUGAUCCAACAGAAGGACCGCGACCAAGUCUCAUGCAAUAACAUCUUGUAGAGACGAAACCAGCGAAGAGAUACUGAAGUGGCUGCAAGACGAUGUGGAGGAGUCAUUUCCCAAAUGGAUAAAUGCAGGUAACAAGCAAGAUACUGCCAAAACCUGAUGGAGCUUGGACAAGUGGAGCAGUUUUUCUUCACCUCUCCCUGAUGCCAAGCAAAGCUGAUAAUAAAUGUUUUUAAAUUGUUGUAUUUAGUUUGAAAUGACAGUUUACUGACAGCUAUUAAUCUGCCAGAAGCAUUUGUGUUGCACAUUAUGGAUCCAACCAAAAGUACAUACAGUAGAUGUAACAUGCCAAAACUGAUGCCAAUUUUGGCUUCCAAUAAAAAAAUACUGAACUCA
Acanthochromis polyacanthus (spiny chromis) is the source of this 691-nucleotide long non-coding RNA. RefSeq lists it as uncharacterized. The transcript has 4 exons. The record is from RefSeq and is a predicted model, not a curated record. NCBI's taxonomy places the organism in Eukaryota, Metazoa, Chordata, Actinopteri, Pomacentridae.